Molecule: long non-coding RNA, 508 nt
Filed under: Betta splendens (Siamese fighting fish)
Lineage: Eukaryota; Metazoa; Chordata; Actinopteri; Anabantiformes; Osphronemidae
Description: lncRNA (ENSBSLG00000019987.1)
Source: RNAcentral
UUCAGGGUCACCCUCACUGCUUCAUCAAGGCACAGACAGACUGAGGCUGACGAAGACAGAGUCAAUACAGAGCGGUGAUCUAAGGAGACCUUCAGGGACAGGGGGACCAGACAGAGAGGAGAGGAAGUGGAGUGUUUCAUCUCCAACACCCGGAGGAGUUCACCUGCAUCUUUGACAGUGCUGCUUGUGGUGUUGCCAUGGAAACCCGGACGGUUACGCAGCGGCAACGGGAGGAGGAGUCGUCCCGGAUGUCUCACGGCGUAGAGCUGUCCUCGCAGAUCAAGAAGAGGACCUUCACGUCCAGUGAUGAGGAAGCAGCCUUCUCUCUCCUCCAUCCCAUCAUCCCAGCGGAUGUGAUGUCCGUCAAGGAGACGCUCAACAUGGAAGGCUUCCCCCGGCACAGGACAUGGUGAGACGGACACGCCCCACGUGGCCAACAUCUGUUUAGUGUUUGGCGUUUUGCAUGCAUGCAUCAACUCAUAAGAGGACUGUGUUAUGGGAUGGAAAU